This 243-nucleotide long non-coding RNA is filed under the name Vitis vinifera (wine grape). RNAcentral's name for it is "long non-coding RNA (VVIN_LNC004177)". Lineage: Eukaryota; Viridiplantae; Streptophyta; Magnoliopsida; Vitales; Vitaceae. The record is from RNAcentral.
CGGUUAAUUAUGGAUACCUAAGUAGGCUAGAUGGUUCCAAAAAAAUAGCAUGCCAAACAAGAUCAAAUCAUAAUAAAGGAAGGUUAGGAUGCGUACCUGGACCGCUUCUCAAGCGCUAUCAUAAAACAUCGAUGGUUAAUUUAAACAAUAUAUCAUCCAGCAUGUGUUUUAUUAGAAAUAAUCAAACAAUGAAACAUGUAUAUUAGAACACUCAAGCAUUAUUAGACAUAAGCAUUAUUUCAC